AAUGCAAAAAGAGGGUGGUGGUAUUAAUUUUUUGACAUGAAACUAGAGUGGCAUGGAGGAGUCCUUCCACACUUAAAACCCUUCCAAGUUGGGUAGGAGUCCAAUUAAAAUAGAUCUAAUCCAAUCAGGUCAAAGGCAAUAGAUUCAAAUUAGCUCAAAUACUUUGAACUUAAUCUAAUUAAGAACUUGGAUUAACACAAUGUGCUAACAAAUCAAAUUAAUCCUUAGAAUUUAUAUUAAAUCUUAAUUAAAUCAGAUCAAGAUUAAAUUUUAAAGUGUAUGAUCCAUUGGAUUUCAAAUCUAGCCAGCAGUGGACAUAGCUCUUGACU
This 329-nucleotide long non-coding RNA is filed under the name Elaeis guineensis (African oil palm). Its description in RNAcentral is "long non-coding RNA (EGUI_LNC042766)". The record is from RNAcentral. Lineage: Eukaryota; Viridiplantae; Streptophyta; Magnoliopsida; Arecales; Arecaceae.